Molecule: transfer RNA, 66 nt
Filed under: Calotes jerdoni
Lineage: Eukaryota; Metazoa; Chordata; Lepidosauria; Squamata; Agamidae
Description: tRNA-Tyr
Rfam family: tRNA
About the family: Transfer RNA (tRNA) molecules are approximately 80 nucleotides in length. Their secondary structure includes four short double-helical elements and three loops (D, anti-codon, and T loops).
Source: RNAcentral
GGUCAGGUGGCUGAGUAGAGUGGUAGGCUGUAAACCUAUUUAUGGGGAAGUAUGCCCCCCUGGUCG